AGAUUCAAAUUUGUUAAAGAAAUAAUGGAAAUAUUCCCUUUCAUGUUUUAACUUCCUUUCUUCUCAGUUUCCUAUCUCCUAUUCCUGUCUCUUAUUCCAGCACAGUCUGUAUUCAUGUUGAUUCCCUGGAAAGGCUGUCCUUGGCCAGUGUUUCCUACAGUUGUCUGUUUUUUUCUUUUUCCUUACAGUGCUGCCAAAAUUUGAAGUGAUCUUUGAGACACCAGUGGUGAUUUAUGUACUAGAUAAAACUUUUCCACUUCGGGUAUGUGGCAGAUACAGCUAUGGGAAAGCUGUCCAGGGGAUGGUUUAUGUGAGCCUUUGUCAGAAGACAUCCCAGUUCUUGCCCAGUGCUUCUAAACCUGAUCUCUGUCAGGAAUUCAACAACCAGACAGACAAGAUGGGUUGCUUCUUCACAAAUGUGACCCUAUCCUUCAGCCGAGACUUGAGGUACUAUCGGGACAGCAUAGUUGCAGAGGCCUCACUGUUGGAGGAUGGCACAGAGAUUCAGGUCAAUGCUUCCCACAAAUUACUCAUCUCCAAGAUUGGCGGGAUGGCCUUGUUUGAUGAUGUGAAUUCUUACUAUCACACUGGAGAGAUGUACAGAGGGAAGGUAAUUCCCAGUUAUGGUCUUUUGGAGAAGACAGCAUGAGAAAUGCCUUCACAGAGUCUGCUUUUCCAACCCCAUCUCUAGCAAGGGCUGGAAUAUUCAAAAGUGAGAAAAACAUCCAAGACCUUCAUUUGCCAAAUAAACCUUGAGUAAUAAUAGCUCUGGGCA
This 775-nucleotide long non-coding RNA is filed under the name Phasianus colchicus (ring-necked pheasant). Its description in RNAcentral is "lncRNA (ENSPCLG00000017127.1)". Lineage: Eukaryota; Metazoa; Chordata; Aves; Galliformes; Phasianidae. The record is from RNAcentral.